RNAcentral lists this Y RNA (127 nucleotides) under Chthoniobacter flavus Ellin428. RNAcentral's name for it is "Y RNA-like". It matches the Rfam family "Y RNA-like". From Rfam's summary of the family: In Deinococcus radiodurans Rsr is tethered via Y RNA to the exoribonuclease PNPase and channels single-stranded RNA into the PNPase cavity. The record is from Rfam by way of RNAcentral. Lineage: Bacteria; Pseudomonadati; Verrucomicrobiota; Spartobacteria; Chthoniobacterales; Chthoniobacteraceae.
GUGACGAAUGCCGUGCGGAACUACAUCACAUCGCUGGUCGCGGGUUCGAUUCCCGUCCUGGUCGCAAGAUCGGGUAGCUCAGUUGGUAGAGCAUCGAAAUGUUUCGCCAAAAACUCGUCGUCACGAA